GACGAACGCUGGCGGCGUGCUUAACACAUGCAAGUCGAACGGAAAGGCCCUGCUUUUGUGGGGUGCUCGAGUGGCGAACGGGUGAGUAACACGUGAGUAACCUGCCCUUGACUUUGGGAUAACUUCAGGAAACUGGGGCUAAUACCGGAUAGGAGCUCCUGCUGCAUGGUGGGGGUUGGAAAGUUUCGGCGGUUGGGGAUGGACUCGCGGCUUAUGAGCUUGUUGGUGGGGUAGUGGCUUACCAAGGCUUUGACGGGUAGCCGGCCUGAGAGGGUGACCGGCCACAUUGGGACUGAGAUACGGCCCAGAGUCCUACGGGAGGCAGCAGUGGGGAAUAUUGCACAAUGGGAGGAAGCCUGAUGCAGCAACGCCGCGUGCGGGAUGACGGCCUUCGGGUUGUAAACCGCUUUCGCCUGUGACGAAGCGUGAGUGACGGUAAUGGGUAAAGAAGCACCGGCUAACUACGUG
This 468-nucleotide ribosomal RNA is filed under the name uncultured bacterium. RNAcentral's name for it is "partial 16S ribosomal RNA". It matches the Rfam family "Bacterial small subunit ribosomal RNA", at positions 28 to 507 of the family's 1533-position model. The record is from RNAcentral.